AUUGAACGCUGGCGGCAGGCCUAACACAUGCAAGUCGAGCGAGCGGCGGACGGGUGAGUAAUGUAGGGGGACUGCCCGAUAGCGGGGGAUAACUACUGGAAACGGUAUCUAAUACCGCAUACUAUCGGAUAACCCAUAUGGGAUUGGCUAGUAGGUGAGGUAAUGGCUCACCUAGGCGACGAUCCCUAGCUGGCCUGAGAGGAUGAUCAGCCACACUGGGACUGAGACACGGCCCAGACUCCUACGGAGGCAGCAGGAGGGAAUAUUGCACAAUGGGCGCAAGCCUGAUGCAGCCAUGCCGCGUGUAUGAAGAAGGCUCUAGGGUUGUAAAGUACUGUCAGUAGGGAGGCGUUACCGACAGAAGAAGCACCGGCUAACUCCGUGCCAGCCGCCGCGGUAAUUC
This 403-nucleotide ribosomal RNA is filed under the name uncultured bacterium. Its description in RNAcentral is "partial 16S ribosomal RNA". It matches the Rfam family "Bacterial small subunit ribosomal RNA", at positions 30 to 526 of the family's 1533-position model. The record is from RNAcentral.